This 497-nucleotide ribosomal RNA is filed under the name uncultured bacterium. Its description in RNAcentral is "partial 16S ribosomal RNA". It matches the Rfam family "Bacterial small subunit ribosomal RNA", at positions 28 to 507 of the family's 1533-position model. The record is from RNAcentral.
GAUGAACGCUGGCGGCGUGCCUAAUACAUGCAAGUCGAGCGAACAGACGAGGAGCUUGCUCCUCUGACGUUAGCGGCGGACGGGUGAGUAACACGUGGAUAACCUACCUAUAAGACUGGGAUAACUUCGGGAAACCGGAGCUAAUACCGGAUAAUAUAUUGAACCGCAUGGUUCAAUAGUGAAAGACGGUUUUGCUGUCACUUAUAGAUGGAUCCGCGCCGCAUUAGCUAGUUGGUAAGGUGACGGCUUACCACGGCAACGAUGCGUAGCCGACCUGAGAGGGUGAUCGGCCACACUGGAACUGAGACACGGUCCAGACUCCUACGGGAGGCAGCAGUAGGGAAUCUUCCGCAAGGGGCGAAAGCUUGACGGAGCAACGCCGCGUGAGUGAUGAAGGUCUUCGGAUCGUAAAACUCUGUUAUUAGGGAAGAACAAAUGUGUAAGUAACUAUGCACGUCUUGACGGUACCUAAUCAGAAAGCCACGGCUAACUACGUG